Molecule: transfer RNA, 61 nt
Filed under: Arcoscalpellum epeeum
Lineage: Eukaryota; Metazoa; Arthropoda; Thecostraca; Scalpellidae
Description: tRNA-Arg
Source: RNAcentral
AAAUGGAAAGCGAAGUUUGCUCUCGGUUUCGACCCGAUUUUUGGUUAUAAACCUUCAUUUU